UUUUGUUGGGGUUUUUUUUUUGUAAUUAUCUGCUUGCUGCUUAAAUUUUUAAUUGUGCUGUUACGGUAUCUGGCUGGUUCUGUUAUGUAGUUACUCUUUUCAGCGUUUUCACUGGGGCUUUGUCCUCAACUGGUGGGAAGUGAGAGUUCAAUCUUCAUUAGGUAAAGCAGUUUCUGCCCAGGGAGGACUUGGAACGAGGUAUUCAUUGUGGCCCUUCAUCAUAGCAGAUAAAUUCUUCUCUGUGCCUAAAACUGUAGUGAGUAAAGCCAUGUACUAAAUGAAGUUAAGUCUAGCUGCUAAUAACCUGUAUAUAAAUUUAGCUCUAUUUUGUGUAUCUUGUUUUGUGUGUAUAUGUUGCUGUGAUUUUACUUUCUUUCCCUUUGUGCUAGAGGUAACUGUCUUGCACAAAUCUGAUAAAUCAUCUAUUAAACUAGAAUAAACCCAAUGAAAUGAUGGCUGA
Molecule: non-coding RNA, 460 nt
Organism: Agelaius phoeniceus (red-winged blackbird)
Lineage: Eukaryota; Metazoa; Chordata; Aves; Passeriformes; Icteridae
Source: RefSeq, a predicted model, not a curated record